AAUCAACGCUGGCGGCGUGCCUCAGACAUGCAAGUCGAACGAUUAAACUUUCCUUCGGGAAAGAUAUAAAGUGGCGCACGGGUGAGUAACACGUAGAUAAUGUACCUUUGGGUGGGGAAGUAACAGUCGGAACGACUGCUAAUACCGCAUAAUGCAGCGGCAUCGCAAGAUGACAAUUGUUAAAGCGAGCAAUCGCGCCUAAAGAGCAGUCUGCGGCAGAUUAGGUAGUUGGUAAGGUAAUGGCUUACCAAGCCUGCGAUCUGUAACCGACCUGAGAGGGUGGUCGGUCACACUGACACUGAAUAACGGGUCAGACUCCUACGGGAGGCAGCAGUC
This 336-nucleotide ribosomal RNA is filed under the name uncultured bacterium. RNAcentral describes it as "bacterial SSU rRNA". It matches the Rfam family "Bacterial small subunit ribosomal RNA", at positions 32 to 356 of the family's 1533-position model. The record is from RNAcentral.